Molecule: long non-coding RNA, 1508 nt
Organism: Malus domestica (apple)
Lineage: Eukaryota; Viridiplantae; Streptophyta; Magnoliopsida; Rosales; Rosaceae
Source: RefSeq, a predicted model, not a curated record
AUGAAAACAGCAAACGCCGCGUUUUAGUGAGUUCGCAUUCCUUUUCUUGGACGCAAUUUCAUUUUUGUUUCACAAAUUCUUCAAUUUCAACCGAUCGGAUCGAAGUCGUCGGAAACGAUGGAAUCGAGGGCGGUGGAAACACAGUACGGCGAGAGGAAGAAGAUAACGUCGGCGUGCGACGUCGAGGCCCUGAAGAAAUGCUUGGAGGAGAACAAAGGCGACUACGUCAAGUGCCAGUCGCAGAUCGAGGCCUUCAAAUCUUCAUGUUCUUUGAAGAAACCAAAUCAAUCUCCUGAAUCCGUACAGUAGAUCAUCAGGCAAUGGCUUUUGCAUGAAGGAAUUUUGUGGCACACCACAUUGCCCUUUCAAGUACAGGACAUCUGGUAUGUGGACUGCCCUUGUCCGGCGAUGCAUUCGGAUGAGGAGAGAAAAACAAAAUCGCGUUCCCCUUAACGGGUCUCGGUAUGUUGCUGCUCCUUCCACAAUCAGCCUGUUAGAAUUCCUCUGUCCCACAUCGGCGGUGGCCGAAGGCUUGAGAAAAAGCCCUAGAAUUAUCUCACUCUAACUUACACCUAUACCUACACCAAGUGGGAACAGUAUCGGUGUUGUUGAAGUGGGCCUAUGACCCGUCUAUCUGAAACCCAUACCUGACGGAUUGAGUAGGUGAUCAAGUAGGGACAGUAUCAGUGUUGUUGGAGUGGGUCCAUGGUCCGUCUACCUGAAAUUUAACAAGACCGGACCUUGCUACUCUCUGAACGACAAAGAAAAGCACUACAUGUCUAAGGUAGAUCAAGUCAGCCAGUUCAGGAACCGAAGGCCACAGCAACAACAGCCAGUUCAUCGAUAAGAAAUUCAUCAAUGUACCUGAUCUUGGUUGCCAGGAUAGUUGGACAACGCGUGACGGGUCAAUUCGGUUGGAACGAACUGAGUGGCCAAAAUGUACUACAGUUUCUUGGUUGGUUUCCUUCCUCCUCAGUUCCUUCCUGCUACUGAAACAAAAUGGAGCUUGUGAAAUGAAAGUUGAGAUGAAGUUCUUACAUUUCGUUCGGCAGAAGAGCUGGCGAAGGAAGACGUCGCCGCCAGGAGAAGGAAGACGUCGCCGCCAGGAGAAGGACGAUCGAGGCAAGGGAAGCCAUUGAAGCUGAACCUCCUGUCCUGAGAGUCUGAGAGAGAGGUACUACUUGCUUCAGCUGCACUAAAGCCUUUCUUUUUUUCUUUUCUGUUAAAUGUACAACACUUUGAAGCAGUCAAUUUCUACUUAAAAACAAUAUUUUACCAAACAAGACUCCACCUUUCCUAUAACAAGUCAUCAUGUCAGCAUCUCAAAUUAAUUACACAUCGUGAUUGGUUUGAGAUACCGUUACAAUGACUGACACCUUUUGUGACUAGUUUCUCGCUUGCUAUUUGUUGUAAAUAUAGUGCUUCAUAUGCAUGAGUGCAUUUUGUUUAAACACGCUCAACGACUACGUUAAUUGUUAUUAGAUGAAUAUGAUUUAAUUUUUGUACUA